UACCCUGGACAUGGUCGGAAUCCUGAAGAGAUUCGGGAGUGCUCGAAAGAGAACCGGCGCACAGGUGCUGCAUGGCUGUCGUCAGCUCGUGUCGUGAGAUGUUGGGUUAAGUCCCGCAACGAGCGCAACCCUUGUCCUUAGUUGCUACGCAAGAGCACUCUAAGGAGACUGCCGGUGACAAACCGGAGGAAGGUGGGGAUGACGUCAAGUCCUCAUGGCCCUUAUGGGUAGGGCUUCACACGUCAUACAAUGGUCGGAACAGAGGGUUGCCAACCCGCGAGGGGGAGCUAAUCCCAGAAAACCGUCUUAGUCCGGAUUGCACUCUGCAACUCGAGUGCAUGAAGCUGGAAUCGCUAGUAAUCGCGGAUCAGCAUGCC
Molecule: ribosomal RNA, 377 nt
Filed under: Burkholderia sp. FES3
Lineage: Bacteria; Pseudomonadati; Pseudomonadota; Betaproteobacteria; Burkholderiales; Burkholderiaceae
Description: bacterial SSU rRNA
Rfam family: Bacterial small subunit ribosomal RNA
Source: RNAcentral